Non-coding RNA from Schistosoma haematobium, 45 nucleotides. NCBI's taxonomy places the organism in Eukaryota, Metazoa, Platyhelminthes, Trematoda, Strigeidida, Schistosomatidae. The record is from Rfam.
AUCCAGCUGACGAGUCCCAAACAGGACGAAAAGUGAGUCCUGGAU